This 208-nucleotide long non-coding RNA is filed under the name Solanum tuberosum (potato). RNAcentral describes it as "long non-coding RNA (STUB_LNC008920)". The record is from RNAcentral. Lineage: Eukaryota; Viridiplantae; Streptophyta; Magnoliopsida; Solanales; Solanaceae.
UCUUUGGUAAGGCUUGUCAAUUUCCAGCUCAUCUAGAGCAUAAGGCACUAUGGGUGCUGAAGAAGCGAAUUUUUUAUUGGAAUGAGGCCGUUGAAUUGAGGAUUGAUCAGAAGAAUGAGUUGGAUAAAUUGACUACAAGCCUAUAAGAGCGCAUCACUGUACAAAGCUAAGUUAAUGAGCUAUCAGUUGCGACAUCUCUCGAAGGGUU